GCAAGUCGAGGGGCAUCGGGAUCUGUGCUGCACAGAUGCCGGCGACCGGCGCACGGGUGAGUAACGCGUAUCCAACCUUCCCUUAGUAGGGCAUAGCCCGGCGAAAGUCGGAUUAAUACCCUAUGUUUUCCAAUGAGGACAUCUGAGCUGGAACAAAGAUUCAUCGCUAAGGGAUGGGGAUGCGUCCGAUUAGGCAGCAGGCGGGGUAACGGCCCACCUGGCCGACGAUCGGUAGGGGUUCUGAGAGGAAGGUCCCCCACACUGGUACUGAGACACGGACCAGACUCCUACGGGAGGCAGCAGUGAGGAAUAUUGGUCAAUGGGCGCGAGCCUGAACCAGCCAAGUAGCGUGCAGGAAUGACGGCCCUAUGGGUUGUAAACUGCUUUUAUGCGGGGAUAAAGUGCGUCACGUGUGGCGUUUUGCAGGUACCGCAUGAAUAAGGACCGGCUAAUUCCGUGCCAGCCGCAGC
RNAcentral lists this ribosomal RNA (470 nucleotides) under uncultured bacterium. RNAcentral describes it as "bacterial SSU rRNA". It matches the Rfam family "Bacterial small subunit ribosomal RNA", at positions 57 to 518 of the family's 1533-position model. The record is from RNAcentral.